RNAcentral lists this ribosomal RNA (490 nucleotides) under uncultured bacterium. RNAcentral's name for it is "bacterial SSU rRNA". It matches the Rfam family "Bacterial small subunit ribosomal RNA", at positions 30 to 514 of the family's 1533-position model. The record is from RNAcentral.
CGAACGCUGGCGGCGCGCCUAAUACAUGCAAGUCGAGCGAGAAGGUGUAGCAAUACACUUGUAAAGCGGCGAACGGGUGAGGAAUGCAUGGGUAACCUACCCUCGAGUGGGGAAUAACUAGCCGAAAGGUUAGCUAAUACCGCAUACGCUUCCGGGACUUCGGUUCUGGAAGGAAAGCAAUACCGUGGGUAUUGCGCUCAUGGAUGGGCUCAUGUCCUAUCAGCUUGUUGGUGAGGUAACGGCUCACCAAGGCUUCGACGGGUAGCUGGUCUGAGAGGACGAUCAGCCACACUGGCACUGCGACACGGGCCAGACUCCUACGGGAGGCAGCAGUAAGGAAUAUUGCGCAAUGGACGAAAGUCUGACGCAGCGACGCCGCGUGGGGGAUGAAGGUCUUCGGAUUGUAAACCCCUUUCGGGAGGGAAGAUGGAGUGGGUAACCACUUGGACGGUACCUCCAGAAGCAGCCACGGCUAACUUCGUGCCAGCAG